UUCAGAUCCCCACGCCACCCAACUCUUCAGUCACUGCCUUCAUCUUCCCUUGUUGUUUUGCCUAAUUGCUUCACUACUUGGUGAGCAAGCGAAGUCAGUAUCAGACUGCCUUGUCUCUUUUCAUCUUAAGAUCAAAGAGGUAACAAUGGUUGAUAGGUAAAGUGAGAAUACAUGGAAAUUAGGUGUUGUUGCUGACCCUUGCUCGACCUGUAGGAAAUUGAAGUCUCCUCUCCCAGAUGCCCGUCGCCUACUUGCAGCACAUACAGCUUACCAUUCUAUUUGAUGUGAAAAUCAAGACCAAGAGCAGUGAACUUAUUUAAACCCAGUUACAGUGCCAAGGAAUAAUGCAGGCGGUCGUUUGAAGUCCAAACAACUGACAUUACCUGUAAAGUAAGGGUGUUCAAUUCUUCUAGUUUCGUGAUCCCUGGAUUCUGGAGAUGCCAUG
Myodes glareolus (Bank vole) is the source of this 445-nucleotide non-coding RNA. The record is from RefSeq and is a predicted model, not a curated record. Lineage: Eukaryota; Metazoa; Chordata; Mammalia; Rodentia; Cricetidae.